RNAcentral lists this unclassified non-coding RNA (703 nucleotides) under Bombus terrestris (buff-tailed bumblebee). RNAcentral's name for it is "misc RNA ENSBTSG00005036282.1". Lineage: Eukaryota; Metazoa; Arthropoda; Insecta; Hymenoptera; Apidae. The record is from RNAcentral.
GAGGCGAUCGAUAGCAACCUCGAAAAGAAGAAUGUGAAUUUUCGGAUGAAAAGUUUUCUAAAUUAUCGCGUAAAUUAUCGAGUAUUACCCAGGGACGCGCGUGAACAUUGUUAAAUAUCCGACAGAAUUUGUAAAAAUUGUAAAAGCCAGAUCUUCGAAGUUUACCGUUUCUUGGAUGAAACAGGAGGAUGCGGUUUUCAUCUCGCCUUUCAAGGAGUAAGCCGGGCGGUUCAUAAUAGUCGAUGAUGCUUAAACACGAAUAGCGGCGGGACGACGUCGGGCCAGCCUGGAAGGACAAAAUGAGGAAUUCGAAAGCGGAACCGGAUAAUGUGGAAACGGUUAUUGCGAUUCAAGGAUAUGAAAAAUAUACCAAUUAUGGAUUCUGUAUUUUAACAAUUCUAUUUUCAUGCGGUAGUGCGCGACUCGUGUUAACUAUCUUUAAUCGUAGAAAAAUAGAUUGAUCGAUGUUAUCACGACGACUUUAUUUUCUACAUUCUUAACUCUGCUCGUGAUACCAUAGAUAAGAUUUCAACAUAAACUUAAGACCUAAUGGGAAAUUGACAUUGACAGCAAGAUAAAAUAAUCAUUACGAUGAUGCAAUAGAAUACAAUAACAGAGCGAUAAGCGAAUGAAAUAAAUGUUAAAAAUUAUAAAUAAAUGUUUCUAUGUAAUGAAAUUAUUAAUAUCGAAUAAUAAAUCAUUC